UUUUAGGUUACUCAGCAUCAGAACUACAAUGAAAGUAUAACUGAACAGGAGUUUGUCAACAGCAAUAGAGAUUGGAACUCUGCUAAGAUGUAUUUCAAAUGGGGAAGAUCCAGAGUUCGCAUUUUCCCACUACUGAGUAUAACAGCGAUUGUUUUGGUCUUCAACCUUUUAUGGAUUUUUUCUGGAUAUACCUUCUGUCAUCGGGAACCCAGUCUUUGUGACUGUCACAAAUGUCUAACAGACAGUGUUCCUUGGUUUAAUGACAUCAUCAGUGAAGCUCCUAAACCCUUUCUGUCACAGAAACAUAUACCUCCAGACGAAGAUUUCCUCUGGUGGAAGAACUUACAGGGGGCAAGACAUCAAAACUUGGCUUUCUACGAUAAAACUUUAGAAAGACUAUUUCAGACAAUUACCCCAAUUGCAGAUGUUGAAGAACCUCGCCCUGAUCACCGCAGGAGUUGCGCCGUGAUGUGGAAAUCUGGAAAUUUAAGAGGAUCGCAUUAUGGACCUCUGAUUUCCAUAACAUCGUAAUAAGAGAAAAUGGUGCUCCAAACUCAAAGAAGAUAGCUAACAAGGAUUUGGCUCGAAAGAUGCCACUUGCCACCAGUUUGGCCAUAUUUCAGAGCUGCAACAUCACUGGAGUGCCCAAAAGCACAAGGUGUGCAAUACUCAGAGACAUGGCCAAGGUAAGAAAGGCUGAAAGACGACCACCACUGAACAAGACACACAAGCUGAAACGUCAAGACUGGGCCAAGAAAUAUCUCAAGACUGAUUUUUCUAAGGUUUUAUGGACUGAUGAAAUGAGAGUGAGUCUUGAUGGGCCAGAUGGAUGGGCCCGUGGCUGGAUUGGUAAAGGGCAG
Oreochromis aureus is the source of this 860-nucleotide long non-coding RNA. The record is from Ensembl. NCBI's taxonomy places the organism in Eukaryota, Metazoa, Chordata, Actinopteri, Cichliformes, Cichlidae.